AGGCGAGAAAACUUUGCAAUGUGCGCAAGCACGACAAGGUUAAUCCGAGUGAUUCCUGCUAAAGGAAUCUUUUGUCAGUUAUAAUACCACUAAUGAAUAAGGGGUGGGCAAGUUCUGGUGUCAGCCGCCGCGGUAAAACCAGCACCUCAAGUGGUCAGGAGGAUUAUUGGGCCUAAAGCAUCCGUAGCCUGCUCUGUAAGUUUUCGGUUAAAUCCAUCAGCUCAACUGAUGGGCCGCCGAAAAAACUGCAAAGCUAGGGAGUGGGAGAGGUAGACGGUACUCGAUAGGAAGGGGUAAAAUCCUUUGAUCUAUUGAUGACCCCCUGUGGCGAAGGCGGUCUACCAGAACACGUUCGACGGUGAGGGAUGAAAGCUGGGGGAGCAAACCGGAUUAGAUACCCGGGUAGUCCCAGCUGUAAACGAUGCAGACUCGGUGAUGCCCUGGCUUGUGGCCAGUGCAGUGCCGCAGGGAAGCCGUUAAGUUUGCCGCCUGGGAAGUACGUACGCAAGUAUGAAACUUAAAGGAAUUGGCGGGGGAGCACCACAAGGGGUGAAGCCUGCGGUUCAAUUGGAGUCAACGCCAGAAAUCUUACCCGAGGAGACAGCAGAAUGAAGGUCAAGCUGGAGACUUUACCAGACAAGCUGAGAAGUAGUGCAUGGCC
RNAcentral lists this ribosomal RNA (661 nucleotides) under uncultured marine group I thaumarchaeote. RNAcentral describes it as "bacterial SSU rRNA". It matches the Rfam family "Archaeal small subunit ribosomal RNA", at positions 337 to 999 of the family's 1478-position model. Lineage: Archaea; Thermoproteati; Nitrososphaerota. The record is from RNAcentral.